CAGCUCCACUACUUACAGCGGAGUGACCUUAGGACAACUUAUUGUACAUUUGUCUCAGUUUCCAACAUCCCUAGAAUAGGGAUGAUAAGUCUUGUACAGAGGUUUCUGACGUGAGACAGUGAAUCAAAGUUCAUGGCACAGUGGCUGGCACACAGCAACUUCUGCAGCCACAUUAUCCUUCAGUGACCAGCAACAGUGAUCAGUCAACAGCCAUCAACAUCGAGGGAAGAACCUUCACCAUCAAAAAGAUUGCAACUUUCUGAAGAAGCAUCACAGAUUGGAUCUUGAUACAGACCAGAUACUUCUGGAAUUCUCUUUCCAAUGAAAGAUCACUUUAAGGUCAGAAUCCACUCCUAGCUAGAUAUCGAACAUAAGAUUAACUGAGAUAAAUUUGUAACCUGGUUGGGCCCAAGGUGGUGGCAGCCCCUU
Molecule: long non-coding RNA, 429 nt
Filed under: Callithrix jacchus (white-tufted-ear marmoset)
Lineage: Eukaryota; Metazoa; Chordata; Mammalia; Primates; Cebidae
Description: lncRNA (ENSCJAG00000058136.2)
Source: RNAcentral